Long non-coding RNA from Pseudophryne corroboree (corroboree frog), 578 nucleotides. RefSeq lists it as uncharacterized. The record is from RefSeq and is a predicted model, not a curated record. Lineage: Eukaryota; Metazoa; Chordata; Amphibia; Anura; Myobatrachidae. The transcript has 3 exons.
CCCGGGCUGCUGGCUGUGGUGUGAAAGGUGCCUGAAGCGGCUCACACCCUGGGAGCUCCCGUGUCAGGUUCCCGGGUGCGACCCGCCUAAGGCCCUCGGGGGGAGCCGGUCAGGCGGAUCGGCAUUCUGAGCCUGGUCACCAUGCAAUGCAGAAUGCGUUGCUAUGGAGGGGACGGAGCAAGUGAGCUGAUGCUGCUGGGUAGGCAGAUCGGCAGCCUGAGCAUGGUCACCAGACAACGCUGGAUGCGUUGCUAUGGAGGGGCCGGAGCCAGCUAGCUGACGUCACCGGAACGGAAGUUGCGGGAGCCGCUAACCGGACCUGGCUGUCUCCGUGGGUCCAUACCCAUUUAGAUGGGACAUAGCAGCCAGCUGACACUGGUGGUACAAGGAAUAGAUGGAUACAAUGACAUUCUAAGUGCAGCUUUGGUUUGACAACAUCUUUAUAAUGGGUCUUGAUACCAGCAUUAAGGAGGGUCCAUUACCAAUCCAGGGUAAAGUUGUACAUUAUCCUUAAGCCCCAAGGGUGUACAUCCACCUCCAUUUUUGCAUUGUUUCAGUUAGCCUGGAGCUGCUUUCGU